AUAAAAUACCUUCCUCUGCUAAAGUUACAUUUAAUGUUGUAUUAUAUUAUAUUCUUUUAACAUUGGCUACAAGAUAAGAAAAUCAACUUCUGGGAAGAUGGCGUGGUGAGCAGAGGGAAUUCAGCCUCUUUGAGACUGGGAGACCAGACUCUGGAGAACGGCAAUUGAAGGAAGAGAAGAAAUCCCUGAGAAGGGAGAAGUGGAGCCCACGAGGGGAGCAAGCCUGAGACCAUCUCCAUUCUCAUGUAGCUGCAUAUAUCUUCAUUAUGCCAGAGCAAGCACGCAGUACUUUGCUUCUCCGUGGUCUUGGCACGUUCAUCAGCUUUGGACAAGUGGAAAUGGGUAACUCCAAAAGCCACAACACACCGUGAACAACAAAAACAAUCAGCUCAUUCCUGUGCUGCCUUCUCAGAGUCCUCUGCCCUUUCUCCUUGGCAUGGGUCUAGAACAUUUGCUUUUGAAUUUGUGUGGUAGAGUGGCAAAAUUUUAUUGUGUUAAACUAUAGAUUUUUUUGAUAUUUACCUUAUAAUACCCUACUGAAUAUCCAAUUAUUGUCAUUUUUAUAUAGUUAAUUUAUGUUAGCAAGAUACAAAUAUCCA
This 599-nucleotide long non-coding RNA is filed under the name Fukomys damarensis (Damara mole-rat). RNAcentral describes it as "lncRNA (ENSFDAG00000030389.1)". Lineage: Eukaryota; Metazoa; Chordata; Mammalia; Rodentia; Bathyergidae. The record is from RNAcentral.